RNAcentral lists this ribosomal RNA (496 nucleotides) under uncultured bacterium. RNAcentral's name for it is "partial 16S ribosomal RNA". It matches the Rfam family "Bacterial small subunit ribosomal RNA", at positions 29 to 507 of the family's 1533-position model. The record is from RNAcentral.
AUGAACGCUGGCGGCGUGCCUAAUACCUGCCAGUCGAGCGCACAGAUGAGGAGCUUGCUCCUCUGACGUUAGCGGCGGACGGGUGAGUAACACGUGGAUAACCUACCUAUAAGACUGGGAUAACUUCGGGAAACCGGAGCUAAUACCGGAUAAUAUAUUGAACCGCAUGGUUCAAUAGUGAAAGACGGUUUUGCUGUCACUUAUAGAUGGAUCCGCGCCGCAUUAGCUAGUUGGUAAGGUAACGGCUUACCAAGGCAACGAUGCGUAGCCGACCUGAGAGGGUGAUCGGCCACACUGGAACUGAGACACGGUCCAGACUCCUACGGGAGGCAGCAGUAGGGAAUCUUCCGCAAUGGGCGAAAGCCUGACGGAGCAACGCCGCGUGAGUGAUGAAGGUCUUCGGAUCGUAAAACUCUGUUAUUAGGGAAGAACAAAUGUGUAAGUAACUAUGCACGUCUUGACGGUACCUAAUCAGAAAGCCACGGCUAACUACGUG